RNAcentral lists this ribosomal RNA (776 nucleotides) under uncultured Neocallimastigales. RNAcentral's name for it is "partial large subunit ribosomal RNA". It matches the Rfam family "Eukaryotic large subunit ribosomal RNA", at positions 26 to 635 of the family's 3401-position model. The record is from RNAcentral. Lineage: Eukaryota; Fungi; Neocallimastigomycota; Neocallimastigomycetes; Neocallimastigales.
CGCAUCUGUGCAUGCAGCAUAUCAAUAAGCGGAGGAAAAGAAACUAACAAGGAUUCCCCUAGUAACGGCGAGUGAAGCGGGAAGAGCUCAAAUUUGAAAUCUUAAAGGGUUUCCCUUUACGAAUUGUAGUUUAAAGGAAGUGUUUUCUGUUGAGGUUUUGGUAAAAGUUCUUUGGAAUAGGACAUCAUAGAGGGUGAGAAUCCCGUAUUUGACCUUUACUUUCAACUUUGUGAUACACUUUCAAAGAGUCGGAUUGUUUGGGAAUGCAGUCCAAAAUGGGUGGUAAAUUUCAUCUAAAGCUAAAUAUUGGCGAGAGACCGAUAGCGAACAAGUACCGUGAGGGAAAGAUGAAAAGAACUUUGAAAAGAGAGUUAAACAGUACGUGAAAUUGUCAAAAGGGAAGCGUUUGACACCAGUGUUGUUUUUCUGAAAAUCAAUUAAAGAACUGUUUAUGCUAAGCUGUUUAGACUUUAUCAGCUAAUCUGUUUAGUUUUGAGCUUUUCUUUAAUGCACUUUUCAGUUAACAAGUCAACAUCAAUUUCUUUUGCUGUAAAAAAGCUUGAGGAAGGUGGCUUGAGAUUCGUCUUAAGUGUUUAUAGCCUCUUGCCUAUGCAGUCGGAGAGAUUGAGGUCUGCAGCGUAGAUCCUUCGGGGCUAAAUGCAUUUGUGCUAAGUUAUAACAUUUUAUAGACAACUUGUUGACUAUGAUUUGUCUUGUAGCUUACUCGCUUAUGUUAUUUUACCUACGCUUAGGAUGUUGAACGCGCACAGAGUCUC